CUGGAAGUGACGAUAAGCUAUACCUUGACUGUCCAUGAUGUUCAAGUAUUCAUACUGUCUGAUCCAG
Molecule: small nucleolar RNA, 67 nt
Organism: Neoarius graeffei (lesser salmon catfish)
Lineage: Eukaryota; Metazoa; Chordata; Actinopteri; Siluriformes; Ariidae
Source: RefSeq, a predicted model, not a curated record